RNAcentral lists this ribosomal RNA (421 nucleotides) under uncultured bacterium. Its description in RNAcentral is "partial 16S ribosomal RNA". It matches the Rfam family "Bacterial small subunit ribosomal RNA", at positions 360 to 773 of the family's 1533-position model. The record is from RNAcentral.
AAUAUGGGACAAUGGGGCUAAUCCUGAUCUAGUCUUGCCUCGUGAUUGAAGUAUGUCAUCGGUUAAUAAAGAACUUCAAGUUGAACGGAAGGGCCCUAGGCUAAUACCCUGAAGUUCUCACGUUACCAACAGAAUAAGCUCCCGCUAACUCAACGCCAGCAGCCGCGGUAAUACAGAGGGUGCAAUCGUUAAUCGGAAUUACUGGGCGUAAAGCGCUCGUAGGUGGUUUGUUAAGUUGGAAGUGAAAGCCCCGGGCUCAACCUGGGAACUGCUUUCAAAACUGGCAAGCUAGAGUAUGGCAGAGGGUGGUGGAAUUUCCUGUGUAGCGGUGAAAUGCGUAGAUAUAGGAAGGAACACCAGUGGCGAAGGCGACUACCUGGACUGAUACUGACACUGAGGUGCGAAAGCGUGGGGAGCAAAC